Molecule: ribosomal RNA, 484 nt
Filed under: uncultured bacterium
Lineage: Bacteria
Description: partial 16S ribosomal RNA
Rfam family: Bacterial small subunit ribosomal RNA
Source: RNAcentral
AUUGAACGCUGGCGGCAUGCCUUACACAUGCCAGUCGAACGGCAGCACGGACUUCGGUCUGGUGGCGAGUGGCGAACGGGUGAGUAAUGUAUCGGAACGUACCUUUCAGUGGGGGAUAACGUAGCGAAAGUUACGCUAAUACCGCAUAUUCUGUGAGCAGGAAAGCAGGGGAUCGAAAGACCUUGCGCUGAUUGAGCGGCCGAUAUCAGAUUAGCUAGUUGGUGGGGUAAAGGCCUACCAAGGCGACGAUCUGUAGCGGGUCUGAGAGGAUGAUCCGCUACACUGGAACUGAGACACGGUCCAGACUCCUACGGGAGGCAGCAGUGGGGAAUUUUGGACAAUGGGGGCAACCCUGAUCCAGCCAUGCCGCGUGAGUGAAGAAGGCCUUCGGGUUGUAAAGCUCUUUCGGCCGGGAAGAAAUCGCAUAGGCUAAUACCCUGUGUGGAUGACGGUACCGGAAUAAGAAGCACCGGCUAACUACGUG